This 975-nucleotide long non-coding RNA is filed under the name Capsella rubella. RNAcentral describes it as "long non-coding RNA (CRUB_LNC001845)". The record is from RNAcentral. Lineage: Eukaryota; Viridiplantae; Streptophyta; Magnoliopsida; Brassicales; Brassicaceae.
AACCUUGUUUUUAAAAAAAAAUCUCUUAGUUCUCUCUUCUUCCCACUUGAGUAGUUCUCUCACUCGAACUUAUCUACACUUCUCAUGACCCGAGAGACACAAACACAAGUAUCCUCACUAGCCGAUAGAAAUAAGCAUCCUCGUACAAGGUACAAAUACUCUCUAGUCCAAUGUUCCUCUAGUUUUGUUUAUCAUUAUAUGUUCUUGUGCUAGAUGCCUAGAUUGUUUACCUUUUAAUCAUUUGUUAAGUAGUUGAACCUGAAAUUCAAAAUGCUUUGUUAUAAAUCCAGUUUCUUUUAUAUAUAUUGUUGUCUUGACUUCAACUAUGUGUGUAUAAACUGAUUUUUUUGGCUACAUAUGUGUCCUUUAAAUAAACUGAAUUAUUUAUUUAGCUAGAUAAAAAAAUAUAUGUUGUGUCUAACAAAACAUAGAAUGAAGUUUUCAUUUAUUUUUUUGCUGAAAAAACAAAAAAUGAAUGGGUUUUUACUGUAAACUAUCUUUAUUUUUUAUUUUUAUGUAAAUUGAAUUAUGCAUGUGCCAAAAUUGAGAAACGGAGAAAACGAUUGUAAUGAAAACUGAAUUUAGCUAACUAAUUUUGCAGAUGGGUUUGAAGGUGAAUCGUCAAAACAAGCCUUUGGGAUUAUGUCUAGCGUUUUCCAUCUUCUACUUCGUGAAGUUGACCAGAGUGUAUGUAGUCGGCGUUUUUACUCUGAUAAAAGAUAACAUCCGUACGUCGAUGUGAUGUGGAUGAAAGUGGAGAAUGUAUGUAUGUGUAUAUAUGCUACAUAGACUGCAUAUAUGUAUGUAUAGUUUGUAUAGGUGAUAGAUGUGAAUGCAUAGAUGGAUGAAUAGGCUACAUAGGCCGCAUAGAUGUAUGUAUAUGUGUAUAUGUAUGUGAAUUCAUAGAUGUAUGAUUAGGCUACAUAGAUGUAUGAAUAGGCUGCAUAGGCGUAUGAAUAGGCUACAUAUAUGUAU